AGUGAACGCUGGCGGUAGGCCUAACACAUGCAAGUCGAACGGCAGCACAGUAAGAGCUUGCUCUUACGGGUGGCGAGUGGCGGACGGGUGAGGAAUACAUCGGAAUCUACUUUUUCGUGGGGGAUAACGUAGGGAAACUUACGCUAAUACCGCAUACGACCUACGGGUGAAAGCAGGGGAUCUUCGGACCUUGCGCGAUUGAAUGAGCCGAUGUCGGAUUAGCUAGUUGGCGGGGUAAAGGCCCACCAAGGCGACGAUCCGUAGCUGGUCUGAGAGGAUGAUCGGCCACACUGGAACUUAGACACGGUCCAGGGUCCUACGGGAGGCAGCAGUGGGGAAUAUUGGACAAUGGGCGCAAGCCUGAUCCAGCCAUACCGCGUGGGUGAAGAAGGCCUUCGGGUUGUAAAGCCCUUUUGUUGGGAAAGAAAAGCAGCAGGUUAAUACCCCGCUGUUCUGACGGUACCCAAUGAAUAAGCACCGGCUAACUUCGUG
This 492-nucleotide ribosomal RNA is filed under the name uncultured bacterium. Its description in RNAcentral is "partial 16S ribosomal RNA". It matches the Rfam family "Bacterial small subunit ribosomal RNA", at positions 29 to 507 of the family's 1533-position model. The record is from RNAcentral.